AGUGAACGCUGGCGGUAGGCCUAACACAUGCAAGUCGAACGGCAGCACAGUAAGAGCUUGCUCUUACGGGUGGCGAGUGGCGGACGGGUGAGGAAUACAUCGGAAUCUACUUUUUCGUGGGGGAAAACGUAGGGAAACUUACGCUAAUACCGCAUACGACCUACGGGUGAAAGCAGGGGAUCUUCGGACCUUGCGCGUUAGAAUGAGCCGAUGUCUGAUUAGCUAGUUGGCGGGGUAAAGGCCCACCAAGGCGACGAUCCGUAGCUGGUCUGAGAGGAUGAUCAGCCACACUGGAACUGAGACACGGUCCAGACUCCUACGGGAGGCAGCAGUGGGGAAUAUUGGACAAUGGGCGCAAGCCUGAUGCAGCAAUACCGCGUGGGUGAAGAAGGACUUCGGGUUGUAAAGCCCUUUUGUUGGGAAAGAAAAGCAGCAGGUUAAUACCCCGCUGUUCUGACGGUACCCAAAGAAUAAGCACCGGCUAACUUCGUG
This 492-nucleotide ribosomal RNA is filed under the name uncultured bacterium. Its description in RNAcentral is "partial 16S ribosomal RNA". It matches the Rfam family "Bacterial small subunit ribosomal RNA", at positions 29 to 507 of the family's 1533-position model. The record is from RNAcentral.